UUAAGCUUCAAGGAAGCCAUUGACACUUGGGUUUUUACCAGAGCCCUGGGUAGGAACUACUGGUGAACCUGAUUAUGAAUUUGUUCAAUGUCUAAGGAUUUCUCAAAUAUCAAGGUUUUCUUUGUAAUUUCAUUUAUAAGAUUUGCCACUUCCCAGACUGUGAGAAGUCAAAAUUUUAGAAGGACAUUAUUCUAGAUCAACAAAUGCAUGGAUAUUGGUUUUAAAUGUAGUAAGUAUAAAAGUAACAGUACACAGCAUGCAAAGCCAAGAUUUUACUGUUCUGUCAGGGGAUUCAGAUUGGAAACAUCCAUCAACUCUACAGUACAAUAGCUCAUGGCAGCAUUUCAUCCCAUCAGCCUUACCCAGAAGAAGAGAGAAGCUAAGAGCCAUUCUUGCCUAUUAGUGGGGGCAAUUGAAAGCCUGUCAAUAUUUCUAUUCAAUGUUAAGAGUCAAAUGUCAAAAGUUUUCAGGAGUUCCGUUUGCUGAGGCAUUUGAGCCUUUUUUCCCCUUAAUUAAAAAGGGAAAGAAACCAUCCAGCAUUUAUACCACUUUUAUUUGACUGUACAAAUUUCUUUUAUUCUAUCAAUGGGGAAUUUUUUUUUCAAAAAAAACAAAUAUGUUAAUACCGCUGAUACAGAAGUUAAGAAAUGAAAGGGGAAGGCCAAAACUGAGGCAAACUGAACUAUCUUCAAUUCUGGAAUUUUAAAAAUUAUCUUAAUAAAAUGAGAAUUCAGAAAGAAAAGAGAAAAUGAAGCACUGCAACAAUAAU
Pantherophis guttatus is the source of this 769-nucleotide long non-coding RNA. RefSeq lists it as uncharacterized. Lineage: Eukaryota; Metazoa; Chordata; Lepidosauria; Squamata; Colubridae. The record is from RefSeq and is a predicted model, not a curated record.